AACGAACGCUGGCGGCAUGCCCAACACAUGCAAGUCGAACGAGACCUUCGGGUCUAGUGGCGCACGGGUGCGUAACGCGUGGGAACCUGCCCUUAGGUUCGGAAUAACUCCCCGAAAGGGGUGCUAAUACCGGAUAAUGUCUUCGGACCAAAGAUUUAUCGCCUUUGGAUGGGCCCGCGUUGGAUUAGCUAGUUGGUAGGGUAAAAGCCUACCAAGGCGACGAUCCAUAGCUGGUCUGAGAGGAUGAUCAGCCACACUGGGACUGAGACACGGCCCAGACUCCUACGGGAGGCAGCAGUGGGGAAUAUUGGACAAUGGGCGAAAGCCUGAUCCAGCAAUGCCGCGUGAGUGAUGAAGGCCUUAGGGUUGUAAAGCUCUUUUACCCGGGAUGAUAAUGACAGUACCGGGAGAAUAAGCUCCGGCUAACUCCGU
RNAcentral lists this ribosomal RNA (432 nucleotides) under uncultured bacterium. Its description in RNAcentral is "partial 16S ribosomal RNA". It matches the Rfam family "Bacterial small subunit ribosomal RNA", at positions 29 to 506 of the family's 1533-position model. The record is from RNAcentral.